RNAcentral lists this ribosomal RNA (301 nucleotides) under uncultured bacterium. RNAcentral's name for it is "partial 16S ribosomal RNA". It matches the Rfam family "Bacterial small subunit ribosomal RNA", at positions 509 to 808 of the family's 1533-position model. The record is from RNAcentral.
CAGCAGCCACGGUAAUACGGAGGGUGCAAGCGUUAAUCGGAAUUACUGGGCGUAAAGCGCACGCAGGCGGUCUGACAAGUCAGAUGUGAAAUCCCCGGGCUUAACCUGGGAACUGCAUUUGAAACUGGCAAGCUAGAGUCUCGUAGAGGGGGGUAGAAUUCCAGGUGUAGCGGUGAAAUGCGUAGAGAUCUGGAGGAAUACCGGUGGCGAAGGCGGCCCCCUGGACGAAGACUGACGCUCAGGUGCGAAAGCGUGGGGAGCAAACAGGAUUAGAUACCCGUGUAGUCCCUGUCUCUUAACA